CAAAACCAGAAAAUGUUACAUGGACAUGGAUACUUUGCCUAAGGACUUCUUGCUACCCAAGGCUGCUUCUCAUGCUCCUCCACAGACCAAUAUGUCUAAUAAUCGAGGUUUAAGAUCUGGGUUACGACAUAGAAUAUAUGAUCCACACAUGGAGCCCAGGUCAGGAACACCUUCAGAAGAUGAUGAAAAACCAAAUGCAUUAUAUGUAAGGAAUGGAAGUUAUAGGCCUCCUAAGCCCUCACUGGACAAUUCGUUGAAUGAUUUUGAUCAACCUGCUGAUAGAUCUAGAGAUGCCUGGCAAAAUGGUAUACAGAGGAGGCAAAAUACAGCUGGAAUUGGGAGAAGAGACCUGUAAUUGGUGUCCAUGAAUGUGCCACAUAUCACAGGGGCCAAUCAUUUUUGUUCCUGAUGUUGUCUUUGCUCCUGAUUAGGAGAUUGGUUGAUGGCACAGCUAAGCAUACUGAUAUUAUGUGCAACAUGGUUUGGCAUGAAAUACUCCUUGGUGAUGCAAGACUGGAAGUCUCUAUGGAAGUAAGGAAG
This 540-nucleotide unclassified non-coding RNA is filed under the name Hevea brasiliensis (rubber tree). The record is from RNAcentral. Lineage: Eukaryota; Viridiplantae; Streptophyta; Magnoliopsida; Malpighiales; Euphorbiaceae.